GAGUUUGAUCGUGGCUCAGAACGAACGUUGGCGGUAUGCUUAACACAUGCAAGUCGUACGUGAAAGCUUCCUUCGGGAAGCAAGUAAAGUGGCGCACGGGUGAGUAACACGUGGAUAAUCUACCCAGUAAUCCGGGAUAACAUCUCGAAAGAGAUGCUAAUACCUGAUAAGCCCACGAUCUCUUCGGAGAACGAGGGAAAAGGUGGGGACCUUCGGGCCUGCCGUUGCUGGAUGAGUCCGCGGCCCAUUAGCUAGUUGGUAGGGUAAUGGCCUACCAAGGCAACGAUGGGUAGCUGGUCUGAGAGGAUGAUCAGCCACACUGGAACUGAAGCACGGUCCAGACUCCUACGGGAGGCAGCAGUGGGGAAUUUUGCGCAAUGGGCGAAAGCCUGACGCAGCAAUACCGCGUGAGUGAUGAAGGCUCUCGGGUCGUAAAGCUCUGUCAGAGGGGAAGAACCUCCUGUCGUCUAAUACGCGGCAGGCCUGACGGUACCCUCAGAGGAAGCACCGGCUAACUCC
This 519-nucleotide ribosomal RNA is filed under the name uncultured delta proteobacterium. RNAcentral describes it as "bacterial SSU rRNA". It matches the Rfam family "Bacterial small subunit ribosomal RNA", at positions 9 to 504 of the family's 1533-position model. Lineage: Bacteria; Deltaproteobacteria. The record is from RNAcentral.